RNAcentral lists this long non-coding RNA (335 nucleotides) under Nicotiana benthamiana. RNAcentral describes it as "long non-coding RNA (NBEN_LNC009098)". The record is from RNAcentral. Lineage: Eukaryota; Viridiplantae; Streptophyta; Magnoliopsida; Solanales; Solanaceae.
CAACAGCAAUGAUAAAUAACCCCAGAGUUAACGAGGAAAUCAAUGAAUAAACCCCCAAAUCAAUGGAACAGUAAACUCUGCACUUUCAAAACCCAGAAAAUGCAAGUCACACAACCAACACCAAUUUGAAAUAGUCAAACUAACUCGAACAUCACAUAAACGAACAACCCAGCAAUUUAACUUUUAGUCCAUGACAAGAAGAAGAAAUCAGAACAGGUUUUUGGAUCAAACUUUUAAGUUUUAAGCUUAGAGAAUUGAUUGAAUUAACAACUCUCUCGUUUUCUAUCUUUUUCAGCUAUUUUUUUUCACCCCCCUCUGCUCUUUUUGAGUGAUAG